This is a long non-coding RNA of Alligator mississippiensis (American alligator), 2112 nucleotides long. RefSeq lists it as uncharacterized. The record is from RefSeq and is a predicted model, not a curated record. Lineage: Eukaryota; Metazoa; Chordata; Crocodylia; Alligatoridae. The transcript has 3 exons.
GCUUCUGGGGGAGGAGCAUCUGGGAGGAAGUUGGCCACACGCCUUCCUGUCCCAGGCUGCUGCUGCUAGCUUGGUCUCAGGAGCUUCUGGGGAGAGGAUGCCCAGGCCCUUUCCUGCCCCUGGCUAUUGCUAGCUGCUGGCUUGGUCUCAGAGCUUUUGGAGUAAGUUGGCCACACCCCUUCCUGCCUUCAGCUGCUGCUGCUGUUGCUGCCCCCCUGGGGAGGGCAACCCCCACCUUCACCUCUACUCUCAAAAGAAGCAUACCCUGAGUGGCUGACAUAGAUGGCUCCUACCAUCACUGCUGCUGUCUGCUCCACUGCUGCCCCCUCUCAGGAGACAGGGAGAUUUCCCUGUUGCACCAUGUUGCACCACUCAACACCACACCUGCACUGGACUACUCCCUAAUUGGCUGAUUGCUCCUGCCCUCCCUUACAGCUGCCUUGCUGCAUCUGAUCCUGCUUUGUUUCCCUGCCUGCUGCCAAGUGACUAGCUGGAGGCCUGAGGGACUCCUGAACUGUUCUCCAACAAACAAAGCACCUCCACCACACCAGUCAUCUUUUACAUCUGCGUCAGCUGCCUUCCCUGUGUGUUUUGCCCUUGUGUGGGCUAAUCACUAAUGUCUAAUUACAAAUAUCAAUGGGCUCACUAAUGCCAGAAAAGUGCAGCUUUACAAUGAGGGCAAAACUCAUACCAUAUCAGAGAUGAUUAAGGAAGAACUGGAUCCCAGGAUGGUACAAUCUUCGCUUGGGCAUCUUGGUGUAUAGCAAAAGUUUGCAGAAGACACCACUGUGAAGCAGGUCAUUUGCUCCUCUUGAUCUUUGUGUAGAACUGUUGAUCAACAGAUGAACUGGUGAUGGAAUGAAGGUAGGAAGCCAUAUCCCAACCUUGGCUGUUAACAUGUUUUGUUAAGUGACAUCCCACAAUAGCAGUUAAAAGACUUUGAAGUAUUUUAUAGAGCAAAAAAGUGUUGUAGAACUAUUGAGUUAUUUCUUUUGCAAAAGAGGGCACUGUACAGCAGGCAGAAGUAUGAAUUUAAGCCUGUUAAAACACUUGUAACAGAAGUCUAAGCUGCUUAACAUUAACUUGCUAGAGAUUCAUCACAAUCUACCAGAACUUUCCUGUUCAAGUCGGGGCUUUGCAGAAAGCCAUAAAAGGGAAGGAAUAUAGUUUCAUUUGCUGGCUCAUACUGCUGAAAUACUAAAACAGGAGAGUAACAGAAAUUGUUUUAGCCAGAUCUAACACAAGUAGCGUGAAACAAUGUAUACAAAAAUAUGUAAUAUAUUUUCUUCGGCUCGAAUGAUGUUACUGACAUGAAACCUUUUGAAUUCACAUUAAAAGAAAAAAAAUGUGUCAUUUUCUAUUGAUUUAUUUUUGGUUAAAAUAAAUUUUCUAUAUUGUACAUCAGCAUGAAAUUAUUAGAAUUUUACUUUGAGUGUUUUUUCCAUUUUAAGAUUAUACUUCAAUUUUGACUAGAAAUGCUAUUGUCACUAUUUCUCAUUGACUGGAAUGCUCAUUGUCACAUGCAAUAGUAAGAACGUUUGUGUUACUAAACAUUGAAUGUUAUGUAUUUUAUGGUAAAUUAACUUAUUCUGCUGUUAGAAGGCAACAAAGCAAACGAUCAAUAAAAUAAGUACACUUGAGAAAUGUAUAGCUGUGUUUUAAAAUGACUAGUCAGGAUCCAUUAGUAGACAUCUUGGUUCUUUAAAUUACUCUAUGCUGUAUAGAGAAACAGUUGCUAUGUACUUUCACUUGUACAACUUGACAGGUUUGCAACAACAGGCUUUUUAAAAAUGAGAUUGCCUUGGAUCACAGAUAUAUAAGGUCCUGCCUGUGAAGCAAGUGAAAUACUUUGAUAAAAUGCCAAAAUGCCAGAGCUUUUAAACAAAUUACAUAGUUUACUGCUCCUGUUAACGUAGCAGCAUGCAUUCUUGCAGUUAAAUAUUAAAAGUGACUCGUAAGUAGUUGGCUACAGUGUCAUAUCAUGAAGUAUUUGUUAGUUUCCAAAUGUGGUUAUCAAACUAUUUGACACUUCUACUCUAAUUACAAUUUAAAAUGUAUUUAAUCUCUGAAGCACACAGCAGCACUUUAUGUCACUUGUAAAAAUAAAAAAUG